GUCCACGCCAUAAACGAUGAGAACUAGACGUUGAGAGGGUUAGCCUCCCAGUGUCGCAGCUAACGCGCUAAGUUCUCCGCCUGUGGAGUACGGCCGCAAGGUUGAAACUCAAAGGAAUUGACGGGGACCCCGCACAAGCGGUGGAGCAUGUGGUUUAAUUCGAUGCAACGCGAAGAACCUUACCUGGCCUUUACAUCUGUCGAAUCCUGCAGAGAUGUGGGAGUGCCUUCGGGAACGACAAGACAGGUGCUGCAUGGCUGUCGU
Molecule: ribosomal RNA, 264 nt
Filed under: uncultured bacterium
Lineage: Bacteria
Description: partial 16S ribosomal RNA
Rfam family: Bacterial small subunit ribosomal RNA
Source: RNAcentral